This 31-nucleotide non-coding RNA is filed under the name Homo sapiens (human). Lineage: Eukaryota; Metazoa; Chordata; Mammalia; Primates; Hominidae. The record is from RNAcentral.
UGCGCGACAUCAAGGAGAAGCUGUGCUACGU